GAUGGUCAUGGGAAUGGGAGUACUAUUCAAAACCCCGUUUUCACUGCACUCAAGACCGUCACAACCUGCGACCUCUGUGCUAUCCAAAUUGUGAACACAGCUUAGACUUCAGCAUUCCCCGCUUCAAAACCACUCAGAUGUCUGGAACCCGAUAUCUAGACGCCAGAGAACUAUUCAAAUGGGGUAUGUUAGCUGGAGUCCGAGUCACAAGAUUUGAUUGUGAUAUGAUAAGAUUUUUGGGAAAUAAAGUCCUUUAAGAAGUCAGAAGACUAUUAUUACGCCAAAACCCAGUUAAUAUACAAAUCAUUUCAACACCUCUA
Molecule: unclassified non-coding RNA, 320 nt
Filed under: Hevea brasiliensis (rubber tree)
Lineage: Eukaryota; Viridiplantae; Streptophyta; Magnoliopsida; Malpighiales; Euphorbiaceae
Source: RNAcentral